CGAACGGGUGAGUAACACGUGAGGAACCUGCCCCGAAGACCGGGACAACACCGGGAAACCGGUGCUAAUACCGGAUACCUUCACCGGAUCGCAUGUUCUGGUGAAGAAAUGGAUUCCGCUUCGGGAUGGCCUCGCGGCCUAUCAGCUUGUUGGUGAGGUAACGGCUCACCAAGGCAACGACGGGUAGCUGGUCUGAGAGGAUGUCCAGCCACACUGGGACUGAGACACGGCCCAG
RNAcentral lists this ribosomal RNA (235 nucleotides) under uncultured bacterium. RNAcentral describes it as "partial 16S ribosomal RNA". It matches the Rfam family "Bacterial small subunit ribosomal RNA", at positions 99 to 334 of the family's 1533-position model. The record is from RNAcentral.